Molecule: RNA transcript, 4780 nt
Organism: Equus caballus (horse)
Lineage: Eukaryota; Metazoa; Chordata; Mammalia; Perissodactyla; Equidae
Gene: FYB1
Gene name: FYN binding protein 1
Source: RefSeq, a predicted model, not a curated record
AAGUAUACUCUGCAAAGCUAACUUGCACAUUCACUGUCCGCGUUACAGCAUCUUCGAGGUCGCUGGGUGCCAGGCACAUCAACUCUUUUCAAAAAGAAUGGAUGGAAAAGCAGAUGUGAAGUCCCUCAUGGCGAAGUUUAACACAGGGGCCAACCCGACAGAGGAGAUCUCAGGCAACAGCCGACCCUUCAAAGUCACAGGGCAAAACUCACCUUCGGGAGUACAAGCGAAAAAGAACUUAUUUGACAACCAAGGAAAUGCCAGCCCUCCUGCAGGACCCAGCAAUGUACCUAGGUUUGGGACCCCAAAGCCACCUUUGGGAGUGAAACCUUCUUCUGAGGAAAAGCCUGACAAGGAACCCAAGCCCCCGUUUCUAAAGCCAACUGGAGUGGGCCAAAGAUUUGGAUCCCCAGCAAACUCAGCAACCAGAGACCCUGAAGUGAAAGUAGGAUUUCCGAAACCUGGAGGCCCCAAGCCCUUCAACCUGCCCAAAGAUGAUUCUAAACCUGUGUUUCCACGGCCUCCUGGGACUAAGCCUUUGCUUCACAGUGUAAACCAAGACCAUGACUUAAAGCCACCAGGCCCGAAGUCCGGGUCUAAUCCCCCAGCCCAGGAAAAUGAACAGAAGCAAGUGUUCCCCAAGGUGGCGGGAGUCAAAGGCAAGUUUGUGUCAGCCACACCAGAUCAUGACCCCAAGCCCCUCUUCCCCAAACCCCUCAUUGGCCAGAAGCCAUCCGUGAGCACCGAUGACUCCUAUGAAGAUGAGAUCCCCACUAAGAAUGUGGCUCCACAGAAAGGACCCUUGGCCCCCCUAGGAGCCAAGUCCAAAACUGGCCCUUUAAAACCAGCAAGAGAAGACCCAGAAAAUAAAGACCAUGGAGGAGAGACAUCAAGCUCACCUUUUCCUGGAGUGGUUCUGAGACCUGCAGCAAGCAGAGGUGGCCCAGGCCUCUCUAAAAAUAUUGAAGAAAAAAAAGAAGACGGGAAGAUAGAUGCUGCUAGGAAUGUCUUCCUGAGCAAAAUUAAUCAGGAAGAGUCGACUUCCGGGGCUUCUCCUGCCAAGUUCCCUAAGAUACCUUCUAAGCUGACCGUGGGAGGGCCAUGGGGCCAAAGUCAAGAAAAGGAAAAGGGAGAGAAGAAUUCAGCUGCCCCUAAGCAGAAGCCAUUGCCUCCUUUGUUUACCUUGGGCCCACCCCCACCAAAACCCAACAGACCACCCAAUGUUGACCUGACGAAAUUCCGGAAAGCCGCUUCUGGAAACAGUACCAGCAAAAGCCAAACGUCUUACUCAACAACUUCCCUACCACCGCCUCCACCAUCCCAUCCAGCCAGCCAACCGCCAUUGCCAGCAUCUCACCCAUCACAACCGCCAGUCCCAAGCCUACCUCCCAGAAACAUUAAACCUCCCUUAGAUCUAAAAAGUCCUAUAAAUGAAGAAAAUCAAGAUAGUGUCAUGCACUCUGAUGGUACUGGAAAUCUAGAUGAGGAACAAGACAGUGAAGGAGAAACAUAUGAAGACAUAGAAGCAUCCAAAGAAAGAGAGAAGAAAAGGGAAAAGGAGGAAAAGAAGAGAUUAGAGCUGGAGAAAAAGGAACAGAAAGAGAGAGAAAAGAAAGAACAAGAAGUAAAGAAGAAAUUCAAACUAACAGGCCCUAUUCAAGUCAUCCAUUUAGCCAAAGCUUGCUGCGAUGUCAAAGGAGGAAAGAAUGAGCUGAGCUUCAAGCAAGGAGAGCAAAUUGAAAUAAUCCGCAUCACAGACAACCCUGAAGGAAAAUGGCUGGGCAGAACAACAAGGGGGUCAUAUGGCUAUAUUAAGACAACCGCUGUAGAGAUUGACUAUGAUUCCUUGAAACGGAAAAAAACCUCUCUUGGUGCUCUGUCAAGACCUCUUGAAGAGGACCAAGAAGUGUAUGACGACGUUGCAGAGCAGGAUGACGUCAGCAGCCACAGUCACAGUGGAAGUGGAGGGAUGUUCCCACCUCCACCAGAUGAUGAUAUUUAUGAUGGGAUCGAAGAGGAAGAUGCUGAUGAUGGCUCCACGCUACAGGUUGAAGAGAAGAAUAACUCGUGGUCCUGGGGGAUUUUGAAGAUGUUAAAGGGAAAAGAUGACAAAAAGAAAAGUAUACGAGAGAAACCUCAAGUCUCUGAGUCAGACAAUAAUGAAGGUUCAUCUUUCCCUUCUCCUCCUAAACAAUUGGACAUGGGAGAUGAAGUCUAUGAUGACGUGGAUGCCUCCGAUUUCCCUGCUCCACCAGCAGAGUUGAGCCAAGGAGUCAAAGCCAAGACAGAAGAAAAAGACCCUAAGAAGCUAAAAAAGCAGGAAAAAGAAGAAAAAGACUUCAGGAAAAAAUUUAAAUAUGAUGGUGAAAUUCGAGUCCUAUAUUCAACCAAAGUUGCAGCUUCCUUGUCUUCUAAAAAGUGGGGGACCAGAGAGCUACAGGUCAAGCCUGGUGAAGCUCUUGAGGUUAUACAAAACACAGACGAUACAAAAGUUCUCUGCAGGAACGAAGAAGGAAAAUAUGGUUAUGUCCUUCGGAGUCACUUGAUAGACAAUGAUGGAGAGAUCUAUGAUGAUAUUGCUGAUGGUUGCAUCUAUGACAAUGACUAGCUCUCAGCUUUGGUCAUUCUUCUAUGUUCAUUUGAUGUCAAUGUGAAGUCUGGAUCUUAAUUGGCAUAUGUUAUUGUGUUCAUAGAAAAAUCAAUGCACAAAAACUACUUAUUACUGUUAGUUAUAAAAUUCUGAUUAUAAAGUUUUGAAAUUUUGAACUCAGAAAAUGAUCCAUCUGCUUAAUCAACAUCUUGGAAGACUGCAUCAAUGAGAUGUAAGAAUUAUUAAAUAUCCCAUUUCUGCCUCAGCUGCAAUUAUGAAGGCACUUCUUUCAGACCGUCCAUAGACAACUCCCCCUUCCUAAAAAAACAAAAAAAAAUCAUUUGAGAAGAAAUGACUGUAUUGUUUAAAGAAAGAUAAGGAAGAAGAAUAAAGAAAGAUAAGGAAGAAGAAUAAAGAAAUAUAAGGAAGAAAAUUUUAAAACAUUUCACAAGAAGGAAAACUUUUGUUUGCACCUGUAAUUAUGAUCAUAUGUUAUAUUCUCUUUUCAAAUCAUCUAUCUUUACAAAGGCAGACUUUUCUCCUCUCUUGCUGUUUUAUAUAUGGAAUUUCAUCAUGUAAGAAGAACGACAAAUAACUUCAGCAGAUAACUUUGCCUCUUACUUCAUCAAGAAAUCAAGGUCAUCAGCCUUUCUCUCGCUUCCAUAAUUUGAUCCCACAUCUACAAAAGUCUUUCUCUGAGGCUAUCAUUACCUCUUUUUGCUUCAGCCUCAGAGAAUGGGGUACCUUCUGUUUAAGACCAAUCUUCCACCAGUGUCCCUGAUAUUUUGCCUCCUGUCUUCCAGUAGAAAUUGAGAUAACUAAGUGCGAUUCCUUUCAACUCCCCACAACGUUCAACCUUAACCCAUGUCCAGACACUGUCCCAGAGAAUAAGAUGUCACUCCUCAGAUUCAAAGCCACAGCCUGUUAUCCCAUGUCUUCUUGCCUUCUCUGGAGUCUUCUUCUUCCACAGUUAACUCAUUCUCAUUCCCCCCCACACACACACACCCCUCUUCCCCAUCACUCUUUCACUCCCUCCCUUCUUUUAAUCUUUAACUUCCAUUGUGCAGAUUCCCUCCUUUGAGACAAACAUACUCCUCUACAAUCUUACCAAAGUCUUUCCUAUUCAAAAAACAAUAAGAAACCUUGCCUUUAAUCCAAAAACGUCUCCAACUACAGCCCAUUUCUAUCUUCCUUUUCUCAUCACAUUAUCUUAAAACGUAGGGUGCAUGUGACAGCCAGGAGAAUGUGCCUCACAGACCUUCAACUUUGUGGAGCUUAAUUGACCAAAGGCCCCAACUUCUACACUCUGAAAUCCAUCACCACAGCUGUGCCCACACCAGGCUUCCCACAGGCUGGUCCUGUGUAGCCAAUGACUGAGCGUGGCAGGCCUGUUCCUGGAAGGUACAGAACCCUCCAACACUCUUGCUAAACCUUCCUUACCCUGCAUAGCACUCUGAGAUGCUUCUACCCAACCAUCUCUCCCUCCUCUCUUCACUGGGGUCAGACCUGCAUUGCUGUCCGAUGGCUCCUCCAGUCUUCCCUGGUUCCCUCCCAUUUCCUCUCAGACGUGUAUCCUCCCCUAAAAAAUAUUAUUGCAUUUUCACCCCAUCUUGGUGUCUGCUUUCCAGAGGAUCUGCACUGAACUCAGUACAGCUAGAGAGUUUGUUUAUAGAAACACAUAUCUUCUCAAAUCAACUGAAUCAGAAUUUCUGGGGAAGGAACUUUUCAAGCAAUUUUUAAUUAAAUAUGAGUUUAAUGCUUAGCCAGGAUUGGGAAACCCUGGUCCCUAUUUACCCUUUGCUGCAUUCUCAAGUUAUAUUCUGUCUUCAACUUACUGAAAUUUGGUCUCUGCUACAAUUACUCUAAAGUCAUACCUACAUAGAUAUCCCACAAGUACCUCUUAACUCAUAAGACUCAAAACUGAACCCAUCCUCUUUCUCCCUUUUGGUUGAUGAUACUCCCGUAGAUUCUAUCUCGGUGACAUCUCUAUCAUCCAUUUACCCAAGCUCAAAACUCAGGAGUUGCUCUACUUCUGCUCGUUCACCUCCUGUGUCCAAUGAAUCAUUAAACAGAGCUCCCAGAAGCAAAGACGCUGUCUUAUUUGUUUUAUACUCCUAUAUUUGAAAUAGUAUUUGAAGCCCUUCAUUGUAUAUUUGAUAAUGAAAGAAUAAAUGAUAUGUCUCCAAAGAA